AACCAGCGUGGAUAGCAUACGUUUUCCAGAGCCUUGGCUACGCAGGGUGAUGGCAUACUUUUUAGCUUUUGCCAAUCUGAUAGGUGAGAAAUGGCAUUUCAGUGUAGUUGUACUUUGCCUUUCUCAUGUAUGUGAGGUUUUCAAAUGUUUAAGAGCUAAGAGGCUGCUGAAACGCCGAGGCAGACAAAGCAACGUGAAGCUCGCUGCCCUGGAUGUCACCCUUCCUGCUGCCCCGCAUGGCGCACACCUCAGAGCUGCUCGGAGCCUUCGUCGGCCCCGCCCUGCCGGAGAUCAGCAGCCUGCCAGAGCCUGUUGGACCAGAAAGCUUAGCACCAGCUUAACUCUUCACUCAGUGGGACAAGGGGCCUUUCUUUCACGCAGGGCUUGGCUCCACGAUAUGCUGGGUUUAUGGCCCCCAUGACUAAACCUGGUUCAGAAUCCAAUUCUAUCACAGAUUUUAGUUCAAAUGGUCAUUUUCCAAUCACCCCUUCCCAACUCCAUUUUCUGCCUGCCCUGCUGCCCCUUGGGGGUGGCCUGUGGUGGGGCUCGGUGCUGGCAGGACAUGCAUCCUGCUCCCUUACCGAGUUCUUUUGUUUCACUUCAUUUUCCCCGGGCACACUACCGUAUCGCUGCAGAUGGAAGCGCUUUUACUUCUAUUUCAAUGUGUGUGCCUCUAAUUGACUUCUCUAAUCUACUUGCAAGGACCAGUAUCUCUGGGAGGAUGUGCAAUAGAGGUGGAGUGGGCAUCCUGGCCUUGCGCCUGGUCUUUGUGGAAAUGCUCACGAUGUCUCCAUUAAGGGAGACGCUGGCUUUAGGACUCAGUGGAUCUCCCAACGCUGGGCCCGUCUCUACCCUCUCAUUCUCCAGGGCUCUGGGAAGUACUAUUUCCUCUCUGGCCCCUUCAGACCCAGGAUGGAAAGGGGGAGAUCCCCUCUGUGGCUGGUCUUGGAGACGCUUCCAACCCACGUAGGGUCCUGCCACCCUGCCUUCACCUCCGUAAGCUUUCCCUUCAUCUCAGGUGGAUGCUCUUGUGGCCCUGGUGACUGCAGUCACCGACCACGUGCCCUAUUUCAACAGGACACUUGUGUGUGGAGAUGACCUUUAGCACAGAUGAAAAGGGAGCUUUUCCUGGGGUUUCCGGAAACAUUUCUCUCCUGGGAUCUUUGUCUUCAUCCUGCCUUUUCCUGCCCCUUUAAAAAGAAAGUUCUUCCAUUUGUUAAUUUUUGAGAGUUUUUAUUGCCUUUUAUUUUGCUUGACAUUUUAUAAUCAAUCUUCUGUAUAUGUUUAUAUAUGCUUUUCUGUUUAAAUUUUGUUUUAAAUCUAAAAAACAUAGUACCAUACCGCCAAAGGUGUCAGGAAACACGCUCAAAUAAGGACAGGCUCCAAAGGCUGCUCUGCCAACAAAAUGCCAGUAAAAUCUGAAACCCGGGUUCAGACACACUGGGAAUGUUCCAAAAUUUAAAACUUAAAGAACCUCUUUAUUCCAGUAAAUCAGCUUCCCUGUGAAUACCAUCGAAAUCCUGUUUUAAUGAGGGAGGGAAUGUCAGAGGAAGGGGUGGAGAAGGAAGGGAUUUAGACGAGUACAAAAUUUAAUUUAAAAACUAUUAUGAGAAGUUUAAUUUCUCCCUCCCCCAACCAAAUACAUAAAUCUUUUCCUUGGGUUUUCUUUGUUUCAUUUUCUUUUUAAAAAAUUUUUAAAGGCAUCCUGAACCAUCUCAAACAAUG
This is a long non-coding RNA of Myotis myotis, 1725 nucleotides long. RefSeq lists it as uncharacterized. Lineage: Eukaryota; Metazoa; Chordata; Mammalia; Chiroptera; Vespertilionidae. The record is from RefSeq and is a predicted model, not a curated record. The transcript is spliced from 3 exons.